GGCUCAAUGGCUCAAUGGUUAAGAGCACUGGCUGUUUUCCCAGAGAACCUGGGUUUAAUUCCCAGGACCCG
RNAcentral lists this transfer RNA (71 nucleotides) under Cricetulus griseus (Chinese hamster). It matches the Rfam family "tRNA". Rfam says of the family: Transfer RNA (tRNA) molecules are approximately 80 nucleotides in length. The record is from Rfam by way of RNAcentral. Lineage: Eukaryota; Metazoa; Chordata; Mammalia; Rodentia; Cricetidae.